This 301-nucleotide ribosomal RNA is filed under the name uncultured bacterium. RNAcentral describes it as "partial 16S ribosomal RNA". It matches the Rfam family "Bacterial small subunit ribosomal RNA", at positions 509 to 807 of the family's 1533-position model. The record is from RNAcentral.
CAGCCGCCACGGUAAUACGUAGGGUGCAAGCGUUAAUCGGAAUUACUGGGCGUAAAGCGUGCGCAGGCGGUUUGUUAAGACAGAUGUGAAAUCCCCGGGCUCAACCUGGGAACUGCAUUUGUGACUGGCAGGCUAGAGUAUGGCAGAGGGGGGUGGAAUUCCGCGUGUAGCAGUGAAAUGCGUAGAUAUGCGGAGGAACACCGAUGGCGAAGGCAGCCCCCUGGGCCAAUACUGACGCUCAUGCACGAAAGCGUGGGGAGCAAACGGGAUUAGAUACCCCGGUAGUCCCUGUCUCUUAUAC